GGAUGUGAGGGCGAUCUGGCUGCGACAUCUGUCACCCCAUUGAUCGCCAGGGUUGAUUCGGCUGAUCUGGCUGGCUAGGCGGGUGUCCCCCUCCUCCCUCACUGAUCCAUGUGUGUCCCUCCCGAAGCUGGCGCUCGGGUUGAAGAGGACGACCUUCCCCACAAGGAGAGGACUGGUCUUCGGUCAAGGGUAUACGAGUAGCUGCGCUCCCCUGCUAGAACCUCCAAACAAGCUCUCAAGAAACUUCUAAUAUUUCGUUUUGAUAAGGUGAUUAUGAAGCAUUAGUCAGGCAGAAACAGAACUCAUACAUUGUACUAGUUUUUGUGAAUGAAUUGGUCACA
RNAcentral lists this small nuclear RNA (341 nucleotides) under Myotis davidii. RNAcentral describes it as "7SK RNA". It matches the Rfam family "7SK RNA". Rfam says of the family: 7SK was discovered as an abundant small nuclear RNA in the mid-70s but a possible function has only recently been suggested. Two independent studies have found that 7SK RNA binds the CDK9/cyclin T complex (known as elongation factor P-TEFb). Lineage: Eukaryota; Metazoa; Chordata; Mammalia; Chiroptera; Vespertilionidae. The record is from Rfam by way of RNAcentral.